Molecule: non-coding RNA, 129 nt
Organism: Arabidopsis thaliana x Arabidopsis arenosa
Lineage: Eukaryota; Viridiplantae; Streptophyta; Magnoliopsida; Brassicales; Brassicaceae
Source: the annotation of a GenBank genome assembly
AUACUUACCUGCACGGGGUCAACGGUUGAUCAAGAAGAACUGCGGCCUAAGAUAGUGACCUCCAUUGCACCUUAAGGAGGGGUGCUUAUAAGCUUGAGGUCUCUCCAAGUGAGAGAGCCUGCGUCAACC